RNAcentral lists this ribosomal RNA (254 nucleotides) under uncultured bacterium. RNAcentral describes it as "partial 16S ribosomal RNA". It matches the Rfam family "Bacterial small subunit ribosomal RNA", at positions 524 to 776 of the family's 1533-position model. The record is from RNAcentral.
GACAGAGGGUGCAAACGUUGCUCGGAAUCACUGGGCGUAAAGGGCGUGUAGGCGGGAAGGAAAGUCAGAUGUGAAAUCCCUGGGCUCAACCCAGGAACUGCAUUUGAAACUCCCUUUCUUGAGUGCUGGAGAGGAAAGCGGAAUUCCUGGUGUAGAGGUGAAAUUCGUAGAUAUCAGGAGGAACACCAGUGGCGAAGGCGGCUUUCUGGACGGUAACUGACGCUGAGAACGCGAAAGCGUGGGGAGCAAACAGG